GGAGGGGUGGCAGAGUGGUCUAAUGCACCGCACUUGAAAUGCGGCGUGGGGCAACCCACCGUGAGUUCGAAUCUCACCCCCUCCGCCU
The sequence is a transfer RNA, 88 nucleotides long. It matches the Rfam family "tRNA". From Rfam's summary of the family: Transfer RNA (tRNA) molecules are approximately 80 nucleotides in length. Their secondary structure includes four short double-helical elements and three loops (D, anti-codon, and T loops).